GCCGGGCGCGGUGGCUCACGCCUGUAAUCCCAGCAUGUUGGGAGGCCGAGGUGAGUGGAUCACCUGAGGUCAGGAGUUUGAGACCACCCUGGCCAACAUGGUGAAACCUCAUCUCUA
This 117-nucleotide non-coding RNA is filed under the name Homo sapiens (human). Lineage: Eukaryota; Metazoa; Chordata; Mammalia; Primates; Hominidae. The record is from Rfam by way of RNAcentral.